UUUUUUUUUUUUUUUUUUUUUUUUUUUUUUUCCAGUUCCUCGGUGGGUUUCCACACAAUAAAAAAGUCUUAGCUGAAAUGAGAGCAUGUGGCUAGCUGCAGCUCUCUUACUGGUCAGCUGCCUGCGGCUCUUGCUUGUCUGCCUACAGUUGUUAAAGUAGGGCUACAGCUCUGAAUUCAAACCCUCCAGUGAAUAAAGGGAAGGCAUUUGGAUAUGUAGAUCUGGAGCCAAAGAUGGGAAUAGAUGCCAAAUAGACAAGUGAUUACAGGUGGUAGAACCUUUACUUAUUUGAAAAAAAGUCUGCUUUGUCUUUGAGGUGUCUAAAGCAGCAAGUGGCCAUUGGUGUCAGCUCAUUAAGGAAAUCUGCAGCUCCAACAGAAAACCACAAUAAACCCCUGCUUAAUCACCAAACAGCUGCUGACCUCUUCUGUGCACAUUCAGCUCAAGGUGCCUUGUCUUUCCUUCAGUCUGAAGCUCAGGAGCACAUUUCAGUCCUUUCUGAUACCUAAGUUUUUGAAUUUUAUUUAAAGACUAAGAACCCCAUCUCAGAGGGUCUGUUGACACCUACUGUAGCAGGGAUGUGAGAGCAGGGAGAGAUGAAAAACAUUACUAAAAUAGGUUUAAGAGCAACUUAAGCUUGUAAGUUUUCAGGCAGAGGUAGUAAGAUAUUCCUGGAGCAUUCCCUGAGAAAAAUACUUGGAAAAAUCAAUUAGUUAUCAAAAAACAAAGCCUAAUGCUACUGUUUUGAAGUGAACAAAGUUAAAUACAAGAAAAAACCUCUAAUACAGCCAUUCUAGAGCAGUUGUGUGUGACUGCCCAGGGUUGAUUCAUCCACUCAAUGGGACUGCAAGAGAGAAAUCAGAUUCAUAAUUUCUGGUGGUAACUGAGGCACAAAAUUAUCUUCAAGCCUUAGGGGAAAAAAAGAAAAACACCACGUGGAAAUAGACCUAGUCCCACACAGCCUUUCAGAGAAGAGCAAAAAGCACAAGGGGAAGGGAUUUUUCUGAUCAGACACAUAAGAACUGAGGACAAACUGGUAGGAACAGCAUUAAUAGAGUCAGCACUGGAUUUAAAGUUCCAGGUAAGCUGGAAAACAUUCUUUAGGUGGUGCAGAAAAUGACCCAUCAGCUUCCCCUCUGCUCUGACAGCUUAGCAGAUGUGACAGCUGUCACAAACUUUCCUCCCUGCCCCCACCAUUACAAAAGGACUGGAGCAGACAUCCGCCUUGCUGCAGCCGGGAGGAUCUGUUCUGUAAUUUACAGAGGAACAAGGCAGAGCCUGUACCAUGACACACUAUCGGUUUUACUGUUCCUGAGCAGCAGCUGACCAGAACCAGCCAAGACGGGCAGGUUUUGUGCCCGCUGCCGCUCGGGGAGGGGUGUCAGCUUAAGCACGAGUUGACAAACAGCACUUAGCUUAUCUCAAGAAGAAAUCCGAGCACUCCCUCAGCAGAUGACAGAGCUGUAAAUCUUGUUAUGUAUAGCCCUAAAAGUAUCAUUAAGGCAACUUAGAAUAGUUAGUUUGUAUUAGAUAAGGAAAAUGUUGUCUUGCAGCUAUGCAGAGAAAAACAUCUUACAGUUGUGUGUACAUUUUGCAUCCACCUGAAAAGCCUCCAGCUGUUUCAGAAGGGCUAAAGGAGUCUAAUAAAAGCAUCCCUGAGAGCCUUAAACUCUUCAGGUGAGAAGCACUCUGUAAGAAUGUAAGGCCUGAAGCUGAACUUUAUUUACUUAUGGACAUUUUCUCUUCUGUCUAGUUCUGCUUUCAUGGCACAGAAAAGUUCCCAGUCCAGGGUGUGACUGGCAUGAAACUAUGCAACAGUGUGGGGCAUAGGAAAAUAAAGUUGUUUUCUAUUCACUCAGUUGAACUAUCACAUAGAACUAGAGAGUUCUGGGGAGGGGAAGCAAUCUGAAACCAAAUCAGAUUUAUGGCUGAACUGUUUGUUUGCUGUUGUGCAGUGGGGAGCUAUCUUGAGUUUCAUUCUUUGGUAUUUAAUAUUUGCACCACUUUCACUGGUAUAGCCUACCAAUUUUCUGUUUAACUAUGAGCUUAAGGCUUGCCAGGAGAAGAGUAAGGAGACUGAAACUUUGAACAAGGGAGUUCUCUGGGGAUGCAUUUGUCUUGUCCUCUGCUGCUCCAAACAGUGUAUGAGAUAUCAAUUUUGAUUUAGAAAAAGAAAUCAAUACAUGUCACUGAAGAACACAUAAUACAAGUAGGACAGAGAACGGAGGCUCUUGGAAUCAGUGUCUCUCUGAAUGCUGUUACCUGAAAUAUUGUGACAGAGUAGAAACUGAGAAAGAGCACAAUAUUUAACCAGAGUGAUUCUCCUGCCCCAUAUCCGUAUUUCCUCCCUCCAGCUCCCCCAUGUUGAACCUAUGUAGAUUUGAAAGCCCCAAACAAAGCAAGCAGGAUGUUCUGUGACGGUGGGACUUCACACCAGUGCCACAAUCCAGUCUGAAGAAGCUCCC
Taeniopygia guttata (zebra finch) is the source of this 2465-nucleotide long non-coding RNA. The record is from Ensembl. Lineage: Eukaryota; Metazoa; Chordata; Aves; Passeriformes; Estrildidae.